RNAcentral lists this ribosomal RNA (497 nucleotides) under uncultured bacterium. RNAcentral describes it as "partial 16S ribosomal RNA". It matches the Rfam family "Bacterial small subunit ribosomal RNA", at positions 28 to 507 of the family's 1533-position model. The record is from RNAcentral.
GAUGAACGCUGGCGGCGUGCCUAAUACAUGCAAGUCGAGCGAACAGACGAGGAGCUUGCUCCUCUGACGUUAGCGGCGGACGGGUGAGUAACACGUGGAUCACCUACCUAUAAGACUGGGAUAACUUCGGGAAACCGGAGCUAAUACCGGAUAAUAUAUUGAUCCGCAUGGUUCAAUAGUGAAAGACGGUUUUGCUGUCACUUCUCGAUGGAUCCGCGCCGCAUUAGCUAGUUGGUAAGGUAACGGCUUACCAAGGCAGCGAUGGGUAGCCGACCUGAGAGGGCGAUCGGCCACAAAGAAGCUGAGACACGGUCCAGACGCCGACGGAAGGCAGCAGUAGGGAAGCUGCCGGAAUGGGCGAAAGCCGGACGGAGAAACGCCGCGUGAGUGAUGAAGGUCUUAGGAUCAUAAAAGGCUGUUAUUAGGGAAGACCAAAGGGGUAAGAAACUAUGCAAGGCUUGAAGGUACCUAAGCAGAAAGCAACGGCUAACUACGUG